AUUGAACGCUGGCGGCAUGCCUUACACAUGCAAGUCGAACGGUAACGGGCCUUCGGGUGCCGACGAGUGGCGAACGGGUGAGUAAUGUAUCGGAACGUACCUUCAGUGGGGGAUAACGUAGCGAAAGUUACGCUAAUACCGCAUAUUCUGUGAGCAGGAAAGCAGGGGAUCGCAAGACCUUGCGCUGAUUGAGCGGCCGAUAUCAGAUUAGCUAGUUGGUGAGGUAAAGGCUCACCAAGGCGACGAUCUGUAGCGGGUCUGAGAGGAUGAUCCGCCACACUGGAACUGAGACACGGUCCAGACCUCCUACGGGGAGGCAGCAGGUGGGGUAAUUUUGGACAAUGGGGGCAACCCUGAUCCAGCCAUGCCGCGUGAGUGAAGAAGGCCUUCGGGUUGUAAAGCUCUUUCGGCCGGGAAGAAAUCGUAUGGGUUAAUACCCUGUGCGGAUGACGGUACCGGCAUAAGAAGCACCGGCUAACUACGUG
Molecule: ribosomal RNA, 485 nt
Filed under: uncultured bacterium
Lineage: Bacteria
Description: bacterial SSU rRNA
Rfam family: Bacterial small subunit ribosomal RNA
Source: RNAcentral